This 421-nucleotide ribosomal RNA is filed under the name uncultured eukaryote. Its description in RNAcentral is "SSU rRNA". It matches the Rfam family "Eukaryotic small subunit ribosomal RNA", at positions 592 to 1018 of the family's 1831-position model. The record is from RNAcentral.
CAAUAGCGUAUAUUAAAGUUGUUGCGGUUAAAAGCUCGUAGUUGGAUUUCUGUUGAGAACGGCCGGUCCGCACUAUGUGCGUGUAUCUGGUUCGGUCUUGGCAUCCUCUUGGGGAACGGCGCUGCGCUUGAUUGCGUGGGUCGGUAUUCAAGACUUUUACUUUGAGGAAAUUAGAGUGUUCACGGCAGGCUUUCGCCUUGAAUACAUUAGCAUGGAAUAAUAAUAUAGGAUCUUGGUUCUAUUUUGUUGGUUUCUAGAACUAAGGUAAUGAUUAAUAGGGAUAAUUGGGGGCAUUUGUAUUAACGCGUCAGAGGUGGAAUUCUUGGAUUGCGUUACGACAAACUACUGCGAAAGCAUUUGCCAAGGAUGUUUUCAUUGAUCAAGAACGAAAGUGUGGGGAUCGAAGACGAUUAGAUACCAU